GUAGGUGGCAAGCGUUGUCCGGAAUUAUUGGGCGUAAAGCGCGCGCAGGCGGUUCUUUAAGUCUGAUGUGAAAGCCCACGGCUCAACCGUGGAGGGUCAUUGGAAACUGGAGAACUUGAGUACAGAAGAGGAAAGCGGAAUUCCACGUGUAGCGGUGAAAUGCGUAGAGAUGUGGAGGAACACCAGUGGCGAAGGCGGCUUUCUGGUCUGUAACUGACGCUGAGGCGCGAAAGCGUGGGGAGCAAACAGGGAUUAGAUACCCUGGUAGUCCACGCCGUAAACGAUGAGUGCUAAGUGUCAGGGGGUUUCCGCCCCUUAGUGCUGCAGCUAACGCAUUAAGCACUCCGCCUGGGAGUACGGCCGCAAGGCUG
RNAcentral lists this ribosomal RNA (371 nucleotides) under uncultured organism. Its description in RNAcentral is "partial 16S ribosomal RNA". It matches the Rfam family "Bacterial small subunit ribosomal RNA", at positions 527 to 896 of the family's 1533-position model. The record is from RNAcentral.